GGUCAAUGAGCAAGUGUCUUUUUCUUUUAAUUACUUAUUUUUAGCCAUGGAUUUGUCUAAAUUGAUCUAAAGAAUUUACUCAUUCUUAAAUCUUUUUCAUUCUAAUAAAUUGCAAAAGAGCUUUUAAAAUAAAAAAUGUUUUCCAACUUGGUUAUUCAACCAUUUAAUAUUUAGCACUCAUGUCUUUCUAUUAAAAUUAACUAAUCUAAGUUUGGCCGGUAACCGUCAUUAAUGGAUCUUAGAGGAUGCUUAACCCCUUUCCUUUAGGAUAAUUAGAACUCUUACCUAGAAUUUCAUGUUUAGUAGACCUUAAUUGAAGUCAAUUUUAGCAUUACAUAGUUAAUAAUUUAGGUAUCCUAAUUCACCUUAAAAAUAAUUAGGUAGCGACUUCUCAAGUUAAUAAUUUGAAAAUCACCAAUAUGUUGUACACGUUUUGACCUCGAGUUAAAAUGGGGUAUAACAAAUAUUUAUUAUUGAAAAUGGUAUUCAUUAGUAAGUAUAUUUCGAGAUUUUGAAAUGUUGCUAUAUAAGAAGAGGGAAUAGCACACAUGUCUCCGUCAACGCAUGUGCUUCCCUGUAAAAACAUUGAAGUUGAAGGGCUAUUUCUGUCAUUUUCCUUUUCUGCAUCAAUUCUAACGCCUCCUCCAUUGUUAACCAUCGGCCAUCUCCAUCUGCUCUCUCCUCUUCUACUCUGCUCCUUCAUAGUUGGGUCCAGGUGAACAUAAUUUACACUUGACAAUAUUGCAUCAACCGUAACGCCGCCUUUGAUGUGCAGCACCGCCACACACCUCAAAUUUGGCCAACCAGCAAACGCCGCCAUCUUCGCACCUCGGUUCUCCUCUCCUCUUCGCUUGUUCUCAAUUUUGCACUUUGGUGAAGUCUACAGCUGCUUCCUAUCUCAGUGAAUGGAACUACUACUCCCCACAGGGAACAUGCAGGGUUACCAGUGUUGCAGCUUAUCCAAUACAACAACAAAUGUUACUCUUUGUAGAUGCCUUAUGAAGAGUCGACAGUUCAAACUAUGUCAAAUAGUUAAUUCAACUGCCUACGCCUACUGACGACAAAAAUAAGGACACACAACAGCCACAAUAUUUGAUUAUGAGUGAAUCUAAUAAGUUUAAUUUUUCAUUCUAAAACAAUACUACUACAAUCCUUUUUUGCCUCUCAUUUCCAAAAUGGUUGUUCCCAAACAAGAUACCUCCUGCAGAUCAACCAAGAUGCAUACUCAACUCAAUCACUAAACUACUCCGCUUUACUUGUGAGCAUAACAUAUUGUAAUAACCUUCCCAGUGAUUUUGUUUUUGUUGGGCCGGGCAUCACCCGGGCAAC
This is a long non-coding RNA of Solanum tuberosum (potato), 1329 nucleotides long. RefSeq lists it as uncharacterized. Lineage: Eukaryota; Viridiplantae; Streptophyta; Magnoliopsida; Solanales; Solanaceae. The record is from RefSeq and is a predicted model, not a curated record. The transcript is spliced from 3 exons.